This 87-nucleotide non-coding RNA is filed under the name Pseudomonas sp. M47T1. The record is from RNAcentral. Lineage: Bacteria; Pseudomonadati; Pseudomonadota; Gammaproteobacteria; Pseudomonadales; Pseudomonadaceae.
CUUUAUGGCAGCUGUGCGCGGGGCAUCUUCGGAUGCGCCGGGAUCCUGGUGCCCCGGUUGACCAACCCUCGCAUAGCUGCCACCUCU